ACAACUUUUAUCCAUCAACCACAUUUUCUUUCAUUCUACUUCAAUCUCUUUUUUUUAACUAUGUUUUUUCACAUUCACAAGAGAAAUACCGAUUAAAUUUUUUCCGCCGUUACACCUUCGAUAAAGAUUCGACUUUGGAAUAUAUAGUCGUUCGAAAGUCUUAAUCGGAUGUUGGACCGUUGGUUAGAAGGGGAAAUUGCGGAUGGUGAAAGGAUUAGAAGGAUUCAAUGGCUUGAGUCCACGUUAAACCAAAAUGGAGAAGUGCGUGAAUGAGUGGAUAUUAAGACCGACAGAGACGUUGGCAAGAUGGUGCAUAAUAUGUUCAAAAUUGUUCUGAUGAUUGUAAUCAAUUAGUUAUAGUAAUGGUAUUUUAAUUAUUGUAGUUGUUUGCGUUGUUGUUUAUGUGUUACUUGUGUGUUGAAUGUGUUGUAUUUUUUUUUGAUGGUAUUUCCUCACACAAUUAUCAUAUGUAAACAAUUUUUUUAUAUAUUGCAAAAGAGGUACAUGACAAAUUAUCUUGUUGAACUCGUUCCAACACUAGGACAGUUAGUACCAUUGUGAC
Molecule: long non-coding RNA, 562 nt
Filed under: Lathyrus oleraceus (garden pea)
Lineage: Eukaryota; Viridiplantae; Streptophyta; Magnoliopsida; Fabales; Fabaceae
Description: Pisum sativum (pea) long non-coding RNA (PSAT_LNC018401)
Source: RNAcentral